This 72-nucleotide transfer RNA is filed under the name Camelus bactrianus (Bactrian camel). It matches the Rfam family "tRNA". Rfam says of the family: Transfer RNA (tRNA) molecules are approximately 80 nucleotides in length. Their secondary structure includes four short double-helical elements and three loops (D, anti-codon, and T loops). RNAcentral also lists the same sequence under 2 other names. The record is from Rfam by way of RNAcentral. Lineage: Eukaryota; Metazoa; Chordata; Mammalia; Artiodactyla; Camelidae.
GAGGGUACAGCUCAGUGACAGAGUGUAUGCCUAGUACGCACAAGGUCCAGGGUUCAAUCCCCAGUACCUCCA